RNAcentral lists this ribosomal RNA (375 nucleotides) under uncultured organism. RNAcentral describes it as "partial 16S ribosomal RNA". It matches the Rfam family "Bacterial small subunit ribosomal RNA", at positions 527 to 897 of the family's 1533-position model. The record is from RNAcentral.
GUAGGUGGCAAGCGUUGUCCGGAAUUAUUGGGGCGUAAAGCGCGCGCAGGCGGUUCUUUAAGUCCGAUGUGAAAGCCCACGGGCUCAACCGUGGAGGGUCAUUGGAAACUGGAGAACUUGAGUACAGAAGAGGAAAGCGGAAUUCCACGUGUAGCGGUGAAAUGCGUAGAGAUGUGGAGGAACACCAGUGGCGAAGGCGGCUUUCUGGUCUGUAACUGACGCUGAGGCGCGAAAGCGUGGGGAGCAAACAGGAUUAGAUACCCUGGUAGUCCACGCCGUAAACGAUGAGUGCUAAGUGUUAGGGGGUUUCCGCCCCUUAGUGCUGCAGCUAACGCAUUAAGCACUCCGCCUGGGGAGUACGGCCGCAAAGGCUGA